UCCUACAGCUCCACCAAGUCCUAUAGUAACACCACCUUCUCCAGUGAAGGCACCACCAACACCACCUUUAGUUAAAUCACCACCUAUUGUGAAAGCACCUUCUCCACCAUUGGUGAAAACACCACCAUAUCAAUCACCACCAGUGAAACCAACACCACCUAUUGUGAAAUCACCUCCUUCUCCACCAUUGGUAAAAUCACCACCUUAUCAAUCACCACCUAUUGUUAAGGCACCUUCUCCCCCUCUAGUGAAACCAACUCCACCUAUUGUGAAAUCACCUCCUUCUCCUCCUUUGGUGAAAACACCACCUUAUCAAUCACCACCUAUAGUGAAGGCACCACCAACUCCUCCACCUAUUGUGAAAACACCUCCUUAUCAAUCACCACCAAUAGUUAAACCACCAGUUGCUCCAUCUCCACCACCUACUCCAAUAGUCAAAUCAUGGAAGGGUAAGUCAAUUUCCAUUUACAUGUCUUUAAUAUGUAACAUUUUAAUAACACAUAAGACUAUGUUCAUGUUUCUAAAUUGUGGUCUCAAUAUAAUA
Molecule: long non-coding RNA, 544 nt
Filed under: Medicago truncatula (barrel medic)
Lineage: Eukaryota; Viridiplantae; Streptophyta; Magnoliopsida; Fabales; Fabaceae
Description: long non-coding RNA (MTRU_LNC003789)
Source: RNAcentral